GACAGAGGAUGCAAGCGUUAUCCGGAAUGAUUGGGCGUAAAGCGUCUGUAGGUGGCUUUUUAAGUCCGCCGUCAAAUCCCAGGGCUCAACCCUGGACAGGCGGUGGAAACUACCAAGCUGGAGUACGGUAGGGGCAGGAGGGAAUUUCCGGUGGAGCGGUGAAAUGCGCAGAUAUCGGGAAGAACACCCGUGGCGAAGGCGGCUCUCUGGACGGUACUGACGCUGAGACGCGAAAGCGUGGGGAGCGAACAGG
Molecule: ribosomal RNA, 253 nt
Filed under: uncultured bacterium
Lineage: Bacteria
Description: partial 16S ribosomal RNA
Rfam family: Bacterial small subunit ribosomal RNA
Source: RNAcentral